Camelus ferus (Wild Bactrian camel) is the source of this 72-nucleotide transfer RNA. It matches the Rfam family "tRNA". Rfam says of the family: Transfer RNA (tRNA) molecules are approximately 80 nucleotides in length. Their secondary structure includes four short double-helical elements and three loops (D, anti-codon, and T loops). Further hydrogen bonds mediate the characteristic L-shaped molecular structure. tRNAs have two regions of fundamental functional importance: the anti-codon, which is responsible for specific mRNA codon recognition, and the 3' end, to which the tRNAs corresponding amino acid is attached (by aminoacyl-tRNA synthetases). tRNAs cope with the degeneracy of the genetic code in two manners: having more than one tRNA (with a specific anti-codon) for a particular amino acid; and 'wobble' base-pairing, i.e. permitting non-standard base-pairing at the 3rd anti-codon position. The record is from Rfam. NCBI's taxonomy places the organism in Eukaryota, Metazoa, Chordata, Mammalia, Artiodactyla, Camelidae.
GAGGGUAUAGCUCAGUGGUAGAGUGUGUGCUUAGCAUGCAUGAGGUCCUGGGUUCAAUCCCUAGUACCUCCA